GAAGCGCCGCUGUAGAGGAUAAUUUUUUAUUUAUUUUUUAUUUUUUUUUACAUCAAAAGCCCUACUCGGACUGUAAUUGUUUCUCAGGGGGACGUCCACUCAUUUCUGCAUGCGGCCAGAAUGAGAAUAACUACAGUAUUUCUUAUCUAAGGGCUGCAAAUUGAAUAUUUCAUUCCAAAAUAAUCAGCAGCCAAGAGCAGAGCUGAGCACAGCAGAAGACUGCAAGUAAGCGUCCAGCUGAACCAGACAGCUUUGAUGUAGCAGAUAAGACAUGAGACCAGACAGGUGGUGGCAAGUACUGAUGCCAGCCAGUGUGUUUUUUUCUAUCGCAGAUUGUGGACAAAUGGAUUUGAAAUGCGUUGUAUUCAGACUUGACAGUCAAAAUGCAAAAAUGACUUCAGGAUUAAUUGUCCUGGCUAUCCCUUAUCCAGCAUAUAUCUGCAUUAUGGUGAUACAACUGAAAAUUGUUUUUUUUUUUUUUUUUAAAAAGCAUUAAGUGGAUAGUGGAUUUGCUGGCUUUAAAAACAGACAUUAUGACAAAACUACUAACUAUCACAUAAAUACAUAAAUCAGUUUAUUCUACAGCCUUUGGUGGAUGAAAGCUAACCGCAAUAUAUUUUGUGCAUGCAUCUCCACUCCCCCCUCCUCUUUUGCCUAAAGGGCCAAAGAAAUAUUAAAAACGAGAUAUGAAGUAAUCAUUAAUAUUAAGCCCACAGCCAC
Cyprinus carpio carpio is the source of this 720-nucleotide long non-coding RNA. The record is from Ensembl. Lineage: Eukaryota; Metazoa; Chordata; Actinopteri; Cypriniformes; Cyprinidae.